CUCUAGCACACCCUGCUCUGCCUUUCUUCAGAUGUGUAGCUUUGCUUUCUUUCUUCUACCCUCUCAGGGUCCCCACGAGACUUGCAACCAGGGGAGUGGUGGACAGUGGCAGUUCCUUCCGGGCUCACCCUGAACCCGUCUCCAAGGCCCCCCCUUUGUACUGCUGUUCAAGUACAGUUGUCUCCAUUCCCCCCGCCACUCUCCCCACCCCAGCAAGGAUUCUUCUUCUGACUCUGUAACUUGUUUCCUAAGUCCAUGCAGCCCAGGGGGUUCGCUUCUGCUUCUGCGACUUUCUGAAAGGCCAAGGCAGCUCUCUGGGGCGGCGCACUUGAUUCUUCUCUCCAAGCAUACUUUUGGUUUGCUUGGUUACAAACUUCCUCUUGCACUGCUUUGGGCUGGAGAUAGCAGCACUGGGAGCUGUGGGUUCUGGUUCUGGGGUCGCUGGCCCACCGUUCUGAACGUGGACUUCCUCGUAGGCACCUAACUCGCCAUCUUUGAUGAGCUCCGGCCUCUAUGCCUUGCGCAGCUGCUCCAGGAAGCUGCUGUAGAAGCUCUCUGCCCACUCUGUGGGCACUGAAUGCCAUGUGGAAGGUGGGCUUGGGGCCCUUGAGGACACACUGGCGAAUGAACUGGCUGACACGCAGCACCUGGUGCUUUGACCAGUGCUUCCCACUCUCAUCUUCAAACACAUGAAGCUUCACUGCUGCAGAGAGCGUGCCCACUGAGAGACCUGCGGGGAGCAGGCUUACCAGCACCGCUGCAAUGGGACCAAUGGCUGGCUCCGCUUGGAGGACCUGGCUCCACACGUUCUCAGCCUUAUGUCUCCUGCUGUGGCUAUUCUCUAAUGGAUCACCGGUGCCUUCCUCACCCUCUUGGAGCCAAGAACCCAAGGGCAAGGUGCUGGUGGUCCAACCAGAGGCGUGGAGACGCUGUGGCAGCGUGGCCCUGGACCCCAAGGAUGGCAUGUGGAGCUGCUGUGGGCUCCACUACCCCUUCCAUCGUGCCUCCCAGAGGUGCUGUUCGACCAACAUGAACGGGUUCCAGGUCAUUCCCAAGGACAAUAGCAAAUCAGAAUAUGACGACUGCAGGAAAUAUAACAGGAAGGACCUCUAGGCUCCAGGAAGCCAUCCUUCGCGGCCCCAAAUCCCCCCCACCCUCAACCUACCCUUUCCUUCUAAGCCUUCACUCUGAGGACUAGGGAAUUAUCCAGCAGCUCCUUCUUUCCAAAGUCUAAGUUAUGGGCCACAGGUUCCCACGGUGUGAAGUUAGGUAAGUCACCUCCUAUUUCUAGG
Long non-coding RNA from Phyllostomus discolor (pale spear-nosed bat), 1292 nucleotides. RefSeq lists it as uncharacterized. NCBI's taxonomy places the organism in Eukaryota, Metazoa, Chordata, Mammalia, Chiroptera, Phyllostomidae. The transcript is spliced from 5 exons. The record is from RefSeq and is a predicted model, not a curated record.